This 658-nucleotide ribosomal RNA is filed under the name uncultured bacterium. RNAcentral's name for it is "bacterial SSU rRNA". It matches the Rfam family "Bacterial small subunit ribosomal RNA", at positions 201 to 847 of the family's 1533-position model. The record is from RNAcentral.
UGAAAGGGGCAAUUGCUCCACUACAAGAUGGACCUGCGUUGUAUUAGCUAGUAGGUGAGGUAACGGCUCACCUAGGCGACGAUACAUAGCCGACCUGAGACGGCGAUCGGCCACACUGGGACUGAGACACGGCCCAGACUCCUACGGGAGGCAGCAGUAGGGAAUCUUCGGCAAUGGGGGCAACCCUGACCGAGCAACGCCGCGUGAGUGAAGAAGGUUUUCGGAUCGUAAAGCUCUGUUGUAAGUCAAGAACGAGUGUGAGAGUGGAAAGUUCACACUGUGACGGUAGCUUACCAGAAAGGGACGGCUAACUACGUGCCAGCAGCCGCGGUAAUACGUAGGUCCCGAGCGUUGUCCGGAUUUAUUGGGCGUAAAGCGAGCGCAGGCGGUUUGAUAAGUCUGAAGUUAAAGGCUGUGGCUCAACCAUAGUUCGCUUUGGAAACUGUCAAACUUGAGUGCAGAAGGGGAGAGUGGAAUUCCAUGUGUAGCGGUGAAAUGCGUAGAUAUAUGGAGGAACACCGGUGGCGAAAGCGGCUCUCUGGUCUGUAACUGACGCUGAGGCUCGAAAGCGUGGGGAGCGAACAGGAUUAGAUACCCUGGUAGUCCACGCCGUAAACGAUGAGUACUAGGUGUUGGAUCCUUUCCGGGAUUCAGUGCC